This 529-nucleotide ribosomal RNA is filed under the name uncultured bacterium. Its description in RNAcentral is "bacterial LSU rRNA". It matches the Rfam family "Bacterial large subunit ribosomal RNA", at positions 1050 to 1511 of the family's 2925-position model. The record is from RNAcentral.
CUUACUGGACUAAGUGGAAACGAUGUGAGAUUGCCCAGACAGCCAGGAGGUUGGCGUUAGAAGCAGCCACCCUUGAAAGAGUGCGUAACAGCUCACUGGUCGAGUGAUCUUGCGCGGAUAAUGUAACGGGGCUCAAGUCCAGAGCCGAAGCCGCGAAUUCACGCGUAUGCGUGAGUGGUAGGGGAGCGUUGUGCGUGCAGCGAAGCGGCGGUGUGAACCAGUCGUGGAGCGCGCACAAGUGAGAAUGCUGGCAUGAGUAGCGAGAGAGGGGUGAGAAACCCCUCCGCCGUAAGCCCAAGGGUUCCUGGGGAAGGCUAAUCCGCCCAGGGUAAGUCGGGAGCUAAGGCGAGGCCGAAAGGCGUAGUCGAUGCACAACCGGUUGAUAUUCCGGUACUACCGUGUACGCGCCCAAACCAAGUUCCGGUUGCUAAGGGGCUGUCACUUCGGUGACGAACCGACCCACUGGAAGGCGGUUAGCAAUGAGGGGGACGCAGGAGGGUAGGUGAGCCCAGGCGAUGGUUGUCCUGGG